GUUUGGAGUAGCAAAGGUAACCUAUCUGUAUCUUCCAUCACAAUUUUCUCUUUUUUUGUAUCCUCUUUCUUGCUUUCAUUCAGAACUUUUAGCUCUUUCAUUGUUGUAUCAAUUUCUUCUAAAACAAUACCAGCCCUAUCCAUCUUCUUUAACUCCAUCUCAUAUUCUAGCUUUCUCUUCCCUCUCAAAAAAUCAUUUAUCAAAUCAUUCACCCAAGUAGGUGCCUCAGCAUCAAUUGA
Molecule: unclassified non-coding RNA, 239 nt
Filed under: Hevea brasiliensis (rubber tree)
Lineage: Eukaryota; Viridiplantae; Streptophyta; Magnoliopsida; Malpighiales; Euphorbiaceae
Source: RNAcentral